RNAcentral lists this ribosomal RNA (205 nucleotides) under uncultured bacterium. RNAcentral describes it as "partial 16S ribosomal RNA". It matches the Rfam family "Bacterial small subunit ribosomal RNA", at positions 568 to 774 of the family's 1533-position model. The record is from RNAcentral.
CACGUAGGCCGUUUGACAGGUCAAGGGUGAAAUCCCCGGCUCAACCGGGGAACGGCCUUGAAACCAUCAGACUUGAGCGGAAAAGGGGAGAGAGGAACUCGCAGUGGAGCGGUGAAAUGCGUAGAUAUUGCGAGGAACGCCGGUGGCGAAAGCGUCUCUCUGGUUUCUUGCUGACGCUGAGGUGCGAAAGCUAGGGGAGCGAACG